RNAcentral lists this unclassified non-coding RNA (253 nucleotides) under uncultured Rhodobacterales bacterium. Its description in RNAcentral is "contains 16S-23S intergenic spacer region". It matches the Rfam family "Bacterial small subunit ribosomal RNA", at positions 524 to 776 of the family's 1533-position model. Lineage: Bacteria; Pseudomonadati; Pseudomonadota; Alphaproteobacteria; Rhodobacterales. The record is from RNAcentral.
UACGUAGGUGGCAAGCGUUGUCCGGAAUUAUUGGGCGUAAAGCGCGCGUAGGCGGAUUAGUCAGUCAGAGGUGAAAUCCCAGGGCUCAACCUUGGAACUGCCUUUGAUACUGCUGGUCUAGAGAUCGAGAGAGGUGAGUGGAAUUCCGAGUGUAGAGGUGAAAUUUGUAGAUAUUCGGAGGAACACCAGUGGCGAAGGCGGCUCACUGGCUCGAUACUGACGCUGAGGUGCGAAAGCGUGGGGAGCAAACAGG